Molecule: long non-coding RNA, 1742 nt
Filed under: Homo sapiens (human)
Lineage: Eukaryota; Metazoa; Chordata; Mammalia; Primates; Hominidae
Description: HSALNT0338754
Source: RNAcentral
ACUGGUCUGCAGGACUGGUGACAUGCUCCUCACAUCUGGCCAGGGUCAGCCCGUGUGUGCUCAUCUUACACACGUGGUCUCCAGCUCACCUCCAGCAUGAGCACUUGUGACCACACACUGAGAAUAACAGGUGACUCCAAGCUUGGAGCAGUUGUGAGCUCACAGCUGUCAGCUUGGGUCCAGAGGCCAACACACCGAGUAGCUUGGUGUUGCAGUGGCCUGGCUGUGCGGCCCGUGGAAGCAGACAACGGCAGUCAGGACUGCAGGGCCCUACCACGUCCCUACAGCCCUUCCCCAACACAGGAGGUGCAAGCUCAGCAUUACCCAAGAACAUGGGGCUGGGGCCAAGCGGUGGAGGCUUCAGUCUAAGUUCUGCAACGAAGAAUCAGCUUGGUUUUGGGUGAGCCAUGUGGGGCAUAAGGUUCUUCAGCAAAAUGAGGGACUGAACCAUAGAACCUUAAGUUGGAUUUGUGAAGAAAAUUACUUUGAGAACAAAAAAGGGAACAGUUUCCAAAUCACGAAAUGAUCUUACUAAUCUAUCAUAGCUCUUAAAAUGUAGUUCGCCUCAUUAAUGGAAUAAUACAAAAGGAAAAUGUAGUUUGCCUCAUUAACUUGGAAUAAUAUGACAGGACACUGAUUUCUGCCCAUUUGUAUGCAGACUUCAUUAGAAAAUAGUCAAAAUUUAGUUUCUAUAAAAAUUGUAAGUACCACUGUACCACACUGCAUUAGACUAACAGGUCAUCUUUAGUGCUCAAAAUAAACUUGUCCUGCAGGACCUCAUGGCCUCUGAAAUGAAAGAGGAGUUUGGCCUGACAACCGCCACGCCUACUGCCACCUAAGCAGCAGCGUCCAGCAUCUGCAGGUCUCUCAGCCGCUUGUCAUGGCUUCGCUGACAACCUCAGUCUGGAGAGGAGAGGGAACCCUGCAGGACUGUGUAUGCAGUGCAGACUUUUUUUUUUUUUUUUUUGUAAAGACAGGGUCUCGCUAUGUUUCUCAGGCCAGUGUCAAACUCCUGGCCUUAAGUGAUUCUCCCACCUCAGCCUGCCAAAGUGCUCAGAUUACAGGUGUGUGCCCAGCCACGGCGCAAACUUCUGAGGACCUACUGCCAACCAGCUAUCCUAAGAUGCUGCAGAGGGUUCCUGCAUUUAGCGAGGAUGCUGCAUGAGAUACUCUCUACCUCCUGGCUGACACUGGCCCCAUGGAAAGUGAUACCGAUAUCUAGCGAGUGUCCACAUGAGUCCGUAAAUGAGGGAAAACGGCAAGAAAAGAUGAAUUUCUUGAAAACUGCGUGAAGGUCCUGAGCCAGGCCCUCGGUUAUUUGGUUUCCAUCUCUUCUCUGCUCCAAGCCUGAGGGUGGCAGCUGGCGCCAGGCGCUGCUCUUGGGACUUGCAGCUGCAGCCUCCUGGCCAAUCAUCUCUUACUUCCUGUCUCGGAACGAAUGGCAGACACUCUUCAAGGCCUGACUCCUGAAGACUCACGUGCUAGGAGCACAGAGGGGGCUCUGACCACCAGGCCUCAUUUGACAAGUGCUGACUGUGAGAUGUUUUUUGCUUUUUUCUUCAAUUAAUCUUUCUGGAGAAUUUCUUUUUUACCCUUUUGCAUCUUAAGGUGGAGGUUUUUAUUCCAAAUGUUUUUUACACACAAUUCUUGAAACUCCUGAAUUCAAUGACAGCUUCUUAUCAUGGCAAAAGGUUUAACCCCCAGAAGAACUUCAAAGAACUCAGAUCUUCCAGAGCACGACU